GACUAGGUCCUCUGAGUUAUUUAGGUAUCUGCAAACCUAAAAGAUCCACUUCUACUCAUUUGAAAAAUAUGGAAUGAAGUCAUCAGGCAUGUUCUAACAAGGAACUAGAAAUGUCUGUUAGACAAACUGCCUAACUCCAAUAUCCCCACCACCACCACCACCCCCAAGGGUUUGUCUCCUAUGGAUGCAUUCCGGACUGUCCUUCAGGAUAUACUCCAGCAAGUAAGGAAGGAAAAUACGUUUGAGCUUGGCGUAAUCGCAAUGAAUAUGAAGGCUCCUGUUACUGCCUCCAGAACACCCUUGAGUCAGCAGUCCUUCAGAUCUUCCAACAUUCUCAAGCACAAAAUCUUACACAAGAAGAUCACACACCUUUUUGUGAAUGGAGUGAUGGAACCAGUGCCUCCAGAAGAGAAUAUUGUUUUAUUGAAAAGAAGCAACCAGUGGAGGGCAGUCUUGAUCUGAAAUUGGUCAACAGAUGUAUGAGUGUGCAAAUUCUGGAUUAAGGGCCAAAUUCAGAACUGGUGUAAACAGAUGCAACUUUACUGACUUGGAUGGAAUUAUAUCAGUUUACACUAGGGUUAAAUUUGGCCUGGACACUCUAGCAUCUAUGGUGAGAUCAGUCCUGUAAGAAACCCACAGGAAGACCUAAUCCUUGUUCCCAAGGUGUGUACUACCUAAGUAAUAGUUUCAAGCUACAUCUCUUCCAUAAAGUAUUCCUGGGGGAAUUCUGUGCCCCUCCCCCCCCCAAUAAAAAAUUCUGCAUAUUUUGUCA
This 772-nucleotide long non-coding RNA is filed under the name Chrysemys picta bellii (western painted turtle). RNAcentral's name for it is "lncRNA (ENSCPBG00000013245.1)". Lineage: Eukaryota; Metazoa; Chordata; Testudines; Emydidae. The record is from RNAcentral.